CAGAACAGAUCACACCCACGCAAAUCACUCCACCGCGCUUUCCCCAUUCCCUCGCCGCCGCCGCCGCCGCCGCCCCGUCAAUCUCCUCCUCCGCGGCGGCGCCGCCAUGCUCCGGCUCCGGUGCUGCCUCCUCACCCAGCUCCUCUCAUCUCCCUCCGCGUCUCCCGCCUCCCACCUCCGCCGCCUCUUCUCCGCCGCCGCGCCCGCCGUCUCCCUGAACCCUAGCUUCGCGGUGGAGGAGUACCUCGUCGCCACCUGCGGCCUCACCCGACCCCAGGCCCUCAAGGCCUCCGCCAAGCUCUCCCACCUCAAGUCCCCCUCCAAUCCCGACGCCGUCCUUGCCUUCCUCGCCGGCCUCGGCCUCUCCAGCGCCGACGUCGCCGCCCUCGUCGCCAAGGACCCGCAGUUCCUCUGCGCCAAAGUGGAGAGAACCCUGGCCCCCGUCGUCGCUGGGCUCACCGGCCUCGGCCUCUCACCUUCUGACAUCGCGCACCUCGUCUCGCUCUCCCGUGACAAGUUCCGAUGUAGAUCCUUCGUCUCAAAUCUGCAAUACUUCCUGCACCUCUUCGGCUCCUUUGAGAACCUCCUCCCUGCUCUCAGGCGCGGCUCAUGCUUUCUCUCAGCCGACCUUGAGACAGUGGUCAAGCCCAAUGUUGCCUUCCUGCGUUCCUGCGGGCUAGGUGACUGUGACAUUGCCAAGUUGUGCAUGGCUCAGCUAAUGCUGCUUGGCUCCAACAUAGAGUGCGUCCGGGCAAUGGCAGCACGCGCCCAAGAUAUUGGUGUGCCCUGUGGCUCUCGGAUGUUCAGGCACGCGCUGCAGGCUGUUGCAUUCCUCAGCAAUGAGAAGAUCGCCGCCAAAGUGGAGCACUUGAAGAAGAUGUUCAGGUGGUCUGAUGCCGAGGUGCACAUUGCUUUGUCCACGCUUCCGCCUCUGCUGAUGAGGUCUAACCAUAUGCUGGAGAGCAAGUCAGAGUUCCUAAUAUCCAAGGUGGGGUUUGAACCAGCAUACAUUGCUCAUCAUCCGGCAUUGCUCACAUACAGCCUGGAGGGCCGGAUCAUACCCCGGUACUAUGUUGUAAAGUUUCUCAAGGAAAAUGGACUGCUGGAUCACAACCGGAGCUACUAUUCUGCAGUCAUUGUGAUGGAGAAAGUAUUCGUGGACAAGUACAUAUCCCCUCACAAGGAAGUUGCACCAUACCUUGCUGAAGACUAUGAUGCCGCUUGCAGAGGGGAAGUGCCGACUAGAUUCAAAUUUACAUGAAAAUUGGUAACACUAUGGCACAACAAUUUUUUUUUACAUUCCGUGUUAUGCUAUUCAUUCCUGAUUUGGUGUUCUUGGCCUAACUGAAUUGUAGUUGUCUGCUAUUGAUAAUCUAUAGUAUGUUUGUUACAUGCUGAUUUGAUGGUGCUAGUCUAGGAUCAUGAAAUUGGCAAUUUGAUUUGAGAGUAUUGGUAUGCUCAUUAUGGCAUUCAAUUAGAGAAGAAAGCAUCGUACCACUAGCUUGUGCACUCUAAGGUUGCAUUGACAUACAUAUUGGAUUUACGGGAAUCUUUGUGAAAACCAUGGAGCGGCUGCUCCAGCCAUGGAUACCCUUCAUUUCCACCUCGAGAUAGGAGCCAUGUCAGAGAAAGCACCGCACAGUACUAAGCACUCUCUGACACAUAUCCCCACAACAUUACGUUUGAAAUGGAUGGCGUCCAAGAGUGGAGCAGUGGUUUCAUGGAGCUAAAAAAGUCUCUCUAAGAACUAAUGGAAUUAAAGAGAGUGAGAGCAGGACAUUCUGCAAAUACUUUCAAGUAUCUUUAUGUUCUCAAAUGACCAUAGCAUUUUCAGGUGCACCUCAAUCUAUCUUUUCAUGAAAGAAGGUUCUCAUUUUGGCCAAAGAUGACACAGACUUCCAAAUUUUCUCUGGAUGGAAGUAUGUUUAUCACCGCCAAGGAUGCAGUUUGGAUCUAAAGAUGUGCUAAAACCGGAUGCAGAUGCAUGGUGUCCCCUUCUUGUUCUUCCAGGAGAUCGACGAAGCAGGGCGCUUUGACUCUGCUAUCAUGUAUGUGAUUCUGAAGGUAUUUGUGGACUUGACGCCUUGCGUGAAGAAGCUCCUACUUUUGUCCUUUUGAAAUUUGCAAUUUCAGUAAACCUUAUUUCUAGUAAUUCUGAAUCAGAAUAAGAUCUGAUUAGUUAACUCUGAAUCUUUCAGCCACCAAGUUAAGAUAUCUAUAGUAACCGCUUAAAUGUUAUAGCCA
Triticum dicoccoides is the source of this 2244-nucleotide RNA transcript. RefSeq lists it as uncharacterized. The transcript is spliced from 2 exons. The record is from RefSeq and is a predicted model, not a curated record. Lineage: Eukaryota; Viridiplantae; Streptophyta; Magnoliopsida; Poales; Poaceae.